This 253-nucleotide ribosomal RNA is filed under the name uncultured bacterium. Its description in RNAcentral is "partial 16S ribosomal RNA". It matches the Rfam family "Bacterial small subunit ribosomal RNA", at positions 524 to 776 of the family's 1533-position model. The record is from RNAcentral.
UACGAAGGGAGCUAGCGUUGUUCGGAAUCACUGGGCGUAAAGCGCACGUAGGCGGAUUUGUUAGUGAGGGGUGAAAUCCCGGGGCUCAACCUCGGAACUGCCUUUCAUACUGCAGAUCUCGAGUCCGAUAGAGGUGGGUGGAAUUCCUAGUGUAGAGGUGAAAUUCGUAGAUAUUAGGAAGAACACCGGUGGCGAAGGCGGCCCACUGGAUCGGUACUGACGCUGAGGUGCGAAAGCGUGGGGAGCAAACAGG